UACGAAGGGGGGCUAGCGUUGCUCGGAAUGACUGGGCGUAAAGGGCGCGUAGGCGGUUUGCACAGUCAGAUGUGAAAUUCCUGGGCUCAACCUGGGGGGCUGCAUUUGAUACGUGUAGACUUGAGUGGGGAAGAGGGUCGUGGAAUUCCCAGUGUAGAGGUGAAAUUCGUAGAUAUUGGGAAGAACACCAGUGGCGAAGGCGGCGACCUGGUCCUUGACUGACGCUGAGGCGCGAAAGCGUGGGGAGCAAACAGG
RNAcentral lists this ribosomal RNA (255 nucleotides) under uncultured bacterium. Its description in RNAcentral is "partial 16S ribosomal RNA". It matches the Rfam family "Bacterial small subunit ribosomal RNA", at positions 524 to 776 of the family's 1533-position model. The record is from RNAcentral.